GCAAUCAUGGCCGAGUGGUUAAGGCGAUGAACUAGAAAUCCAUUGGGGUCUCCCCCCACAGGUUCGAAUCCUUGCGACUGCG
Ixodes scapularis (black-legged tick) is the source of this 82-nucleotide non-coding RNA. The record is from Rfam. NCBI's taxonomy places the organism in Eukaryota, Metazoa, Arthropoda, Arachnida, Ixodida, Ixodidae.